AGAGGAGGAGAUGCUCUGCUGAGGAGCAGUUGCUAUGGUUACAGGGCCUGGACCAUCCUCUGGGGGACGAGAAACAGGAGCGCAGCUCAGCUGGGCUGGAACUGCCCUCCUGGAACUCCCCCAGCCUGCAACCUAGAAGAUGCAGGAACUGAGGCUCAGGCCAAAUCACAGCUCAGACCCCGUGAACCCAAGGCCUGAAGAGAAUUUGGAUUCAUUUACAUUGUUUUGUGGGGACUGGAGAGACAAGUAAGUUCUCAGCUUAACUGUCCUCUCCGGCUCUGACUACCAUUUCUAAGGAUGUCCUCCAGGCCCAGCUAGCCCCAGACUUCGACCCGAUGCGGCUCACCCGCUGCCAGGCUGCCCUGGCGGCCGCCAUCACCCUCAACCUUCUGGUCCUCUUCUACGUCUCCUGGCUGCAGCACCAGCCCAGGAAUUCCCGGGCCCGGGGGCCCCGCCGUGCCUCUGC
Long non-coding RNA from Mandrillus leucophaeus (drill), 466 nucleotides. RefSeq lists it as uncharacterized. The transcript has 4 exons. NCBI's taxonomy places the organism in Eukaryota, Metazoa, Chordata, Mammalia, Primates, Cercopithecidae. The record is from RefSeq and is a predicted model, not a curated record.